UUAAGUUCAGCGGGUAAUCCUGCCUGAUUUGAGGUCUAAAUUGAAGAUGACUACAAUAGUUGGAAGCUUCUACUGUUUCUGGUCCGGCCACUUAAAAAGUGUCCUCAGCGAAUAGUCUAUUACACUGAGUCAAUCCGAAUUCGAAUUAGAGAUGCUAAUGUAUUACGAACGAGCAGUCAGACUGGCAACGCUCAAAAUCC
Molecule: unclassified non-coding RNA, 200 nt
Filed under: Kriegeriaceae sp.
Lineage: Eukaryota; Fungi; Basidiomycota; Microbotryomycetes; Kriegeriales; Kriegeriaceae
Description: partial internal transcribed spacer 2
Source: RNAcentral